Molecule: ribosomal RNA, 768 nt
Filed under: uncultured archaeon
Lineage: Archaea
Description: bacterial SSU rRNA
Rfam family: Archaeal small subunit ribosomal RNA
Source: RNAcentral
GCUGCUAUCGGGGUUCGACUAAGCCAUGCAAGUCUGGUAGCAAUACCGGCGAAAUGCUCAGUAACACGUCGAUAAUCUGCCCUAGGGUCCUGGAUAACCUUGGGAAACUGAGGGUAAACCAGGAUAGGGAAUAAGGUCUGUAAUGAUAUAUUCCCGAAAAGCAAUGCCCUAGGAUGAGUCGGCGUCUGAUUAGGUUGUUGGUGAGGUAAAGGCUCACCAAGCCUAAGAUCAGUAGGGGCCUUGAGAGAGGGAGCCCCGAGAAGGACACUGAGAUACUGGUCCUAGCCCUACGGGGUGCAGCAGGCGCGAAACCUUUACGAUGCACGAAAGUGCGAUAAGGGAACCCCAAGUGCUUAUGCAUUGCAUGGGCUUUUGUCGAGAUUAAAUAUCUCGGCGAAUAAGUGGUGGGCAAGACUGGUGCCAGCAGCCGCGGUAACACCAGCGCCACAAGUGGCGUCCAGAAUUAUUGGGCCUAAAGCGUUCGUAGCCGGCAGAGUAAAUCUCUUGUGAAAGUGUUAGGCCUAACCUAACAAAAUGCGGGAGAGACUGCUCUGCUAGGGACCGGGAGAAGCUGGAGGUAUUCUGGGGGGACCGGUAAAAUGGGAUAAUCCUCAGAGGACCACCUGUGGCGAAGGCGUCCAGCUAGAACGGCUCCGACGGUGAGGAACGAAAGCCAGGGGAGCAAAACGGAUUAGAUACCCGAGUAGUCCUGGCUGUAAACUCUGCGAGCUAGGUGUUGUGCAUUCCGAGAGGAUGCGCAGUGUCGUA